AGAGGACGACCAGCCACACUGGAACUGAGACACGGUCCAGACACCUACGGGUGGCAGCAGUCGAGGAUUUUUCUCAAUGGGGGCAACCCUGAAGGAGCGACGCCGCGUGGAGGAUGAAGGGCUUCGGCUUGUAAACUCCUGUCACCGACGAACAAGGCAUCCGGUUGAACAUUCCGGGUGAUUGAUGGUAGUCGGAGAGGAAGGGGCGGCUAACUCUGUGCCAGCAGCCGCGGUGAUACAGAGGCCCCGAGCGUUGUUCGGAUUUACUGGGCGUAAAGGGUGUGUAGGGGGUCGGGUAAGUUUGACGUGAAAGCCCGCUGCUUAACAGCGGAACGGCGUCGAAUACUGCCCGGCUGGAGGUUCGGAGAUGAGAGCGGAAUUCUCGGUGUAGCGGUGAAAUGCGUAGAUAUCGAGAGGAACGCCGACGGCGAAAGCAGCUCUCAAGACGACACCUGACCCUGAGACACGAAGGCCAGGGGAGCAAACGGGAUUAGAUACCCCGGUAGUCCUGGCAGUAAACGGUGCUCAUUAGACGUGGGCGGAUUCGACCCCGCCCGUGUCGAACCUAACGGAUUAAAUGAGCCGCCUGGGAAGUACGGUCGCAAGAUUAAAACUCAAAGAAAUUGACGGGGGCCCGCACAAGCGGUGGAGUAUGUGGCUUAAUUCGAUGCAACGCGAAGAACCUUACCUGGCCUUGACAUGCUGAGUUCAGGCGUGGAAACACGCUGGCCCGCAAGGGCGAUCUGCACAGGUGCUGCAUGGCUGUCGUCAGCUCGUGUCGUGAGAUGUUGGGUUAAGUCCCGCAACGAGCGCAACCCUCGUGACUAGUUAAUCCCGGGCAACCGGAUUCUGGUCAGACUGCCCUGUGAAACGGGGAGGAAGGUGGGGACGACGUCAAGUCCGUAUGGCCCUUACGGCCAGGGCUGCACACGUACUACAAUGCUCACUACAGAGGGACGCAAGACCGCAAGGUGGAGCCAAUCCCUAAAAGGUGAGCCCAGUUCGGAUUGGAGGCUGCAACUCGCCUCCAUGAAGCCGGAAUCGCUAGUAAUGGCGCAUCAGCUACGGCGCCGUGAAUACGUUCCCGGGCCUUGUACACACCGCCCGUCA
This 1110-nucleotide ribosomal RNA is filed under the name Candidatus Allofontibacter communis. Its description in RNAcentral is "bacterial SSU rRNA". It matches the Rfam family "Bacterial small subunit ribosomal RNA", at positions 295 to 1399 of the family's 1533-position model. The record is from RNAcentral. Lineage: Bacteria; Pseudomonadati; Pseudomonadota; Alphaproteobacteria; Candidatus Pelagibacterales; Candidatus Pelagibacteraceae.